Kwoniella sp. CBS 6097 is the source of this 90-nucleotide non-coding RNA. The record is from the annotation of a GenBank genome assembly. NCBI's taxonomy places the organism in Eukaryota, Fungi, Basidiomycota, Tremellomycetes, Tremellales, Cryptococcaceae.
GGCGACAUAGCUCAGUUGGGAGAGCGCACGACUGAAGUUCAUUACGAUUCUUCAUUCGUGCGGUCCCUGGUUCGAUCCCGGGUGGUGCCA